This 383-nucleotide unclassified non-coding RNA is filed under the name plant metagenome. RNAcentral describes it as "partial contains 5.8S ribosomal RNA, internal transcribed spacer 2, and large subunit ribosomal RNA". The stretch from base 1 to 105 matches the Rfam family "5.8S ribosomal RNA", at positions 50 to 154 of the family's 154-position model. The record is from RNAcentral.
GAAAUGCGAUAAGUAGUGUGAAUUGCAGAAUUCAGUGAAUCAUCGAAUCUUUGAACGCACAUUGCGCCCCUCGGUAUUCCGUGGGGCAUGCCUGUUCGAGCGUCAUCUACACCCUCAAGCUCUGCUUGGUGUUGGGCGUCUGUCCCGCCUUCGCGCGUGGACUCGCCCCAAAUGCAUUGGCAGCGGUCCUUGCCCCCUCCCGCGCAGCACAUUGCGCUUCUCGAGGCUGCCGCAGGCCCUGAAAAGCAGUGGCGGGCUCGCUGUCACACCGAGCGUAGUAGCAUACAUCUCGCUCUGGGCGUGCUGCGGGUUCCGGCCGUUAAACCACCUUCGUAACCCAAGGUUGACCUCGGAUCAGGUAGGAAGACCCGCUGAACUUAAGC